AGGCUUAACACAUGCAAGUCGAGCGCCCCGCAAGGGGAGCGGCAGACGGGUGAGUAACACGUGGGAACAUACCCAUCUCUGCGGAACAACUCCGGGAAACUGGAGCUAAUACCGCAUACGCCCUUCGGGGGAAAGAUUUAUCGGAGAUGGAUUGGCCCGCGUUGGAUUAGCUAGUUGGUGGGGUAAAGGCCUACCAAGGCGACGAUCCAUAGCUGGUCUGAGAGGAUGAUCAGCCACAUUGGGACUGAGACACGGCCCAAACUCCUACGGGAGGCAGCAGUGGGGAAUAUUGGACAAUGGGCGCAAGCCUGAUCCAGCCAUGCCGCGUGAGUGAUGAAGGCCUUAGGGUUGUAAAGCUCUUUCACCGAUGAAGAUAAUGACGGUAGUCGGAGAAGAAGCCCCGGCUAACUUCGUGCCAGCAGCCGCGGUAAUACGAAGGGGGCUAGCGUUGUUCGGAAUUACUGGGCGUAAAGCGCACGUAGGCGGAUAUUUAAGUCAGAGGUGAAAUCCCGGAGCUCACUUCGGAACUGCCUUUGAUACUGGGUAUCUUGAGUAUGGAAGAGGUAAAGUGGAAUUGCGAGUGUAGAGGUGAAAUUCGUAAGAUAUUCGAGGAACACCAGUGGCGAAGGCGGCUUACUGGUCCAUUACUG
This 650-nucleotide ribosomal RNA is filed under the name Rhizobium sp. PRSFG 24. RNAcentral's name for it is "bacterial SSU rRNA". It matches the Rfam family "Bacterial small subunit ribosomal RNA", at positions 44 to 742 of the family's 1533-position model. Lineage: Bacteria; Pseudomonadati; Pseudomonadota; Alphaproteobacteria; Hyphomicrobiales; Rhizobiaceae. The record is from RNAcentral.